CACCUUCCUGAACGCAUCUCAGUUCGUUCGUUUCCUCUUUCAUUUACGUUCGUUUCCUCUUCCUAGACUGUGGCCACUGCCACGCAUCAUCCGGAAAACAUAUCCAUCUUCCGGAAGUCAAGUCAAAGUAUAAUACUCAUUUAGUCAAAAAAAUUCCACAUGUAUAUACCAAUUUCUCCCCACGCUCAGUAUCAUUUUCUUAUCUUGCUCUUGAAAUCACCCUGUUAUUAACUAAUUGCCUACUACCUUAUUCUCUGCAAACUUCAUAUCACUUUCUUCUUAGUUUCCAUCUUAAUUACCUCACAACAUUACCCUCCAAAGAUAGCUGGUAAACACUUCCAUGAGAUUCGAUCAAGGGUAGUUUCUUACAGCCGGUAAGCACCUAUAUAUGAUUUUGAUUUACAAUUUCUUUUUACUAUUCAAUUCACUGUCCUGCGAUAAUUUUUAUACACUAGUACUGCAACAAAUUUAUACAUGUAUCCGGUAUCCCAUGUAUACUGGUAUAUAUUUCAUUUCCUGAGCAGGGAAGGGAUGCUACAAGUGCCUGAACCAUCCUAAUGGCAGAGGCAGUCAGUUCUGCAGUUAUCCAGGAGACAGUUUGCUAAGUCCUAUCCAGUCUGGUUCAGAGGUACAAUAGGAAAGAGAAACUAAAUGCAAACGAAAACUUGGAGAGGCUAGAGAUGGCACACAUCAAGUUGGAGUCUAGUUAACAAGUUUCAU
Molecule: long non-coding RNA, 720 nt
Filed under: Setaria viridis
Lineage: Eukaryota; Viridiplantae; Streptophyta; Magnoliopsida; Poales; Poaceae
Description: long non-coding RNA (SVIR_LNC001194)
Source: RNAcentral